GAGUUCUUUUUGUAGUUUAUUGGUAAAGUUAACACACUUCAGAUGUUGACAUCACAUUUGACCAAUCAGUAGUAGUUCUUCAUCUUCUAAAAAUUAAGGAGCCCUGAUCUUUUUGUAGAGUGCUCUGUGUUCUUUACUGUAGUAUAUACUCCAUCGUGUAAACUAGGUUCUCUUUUACUCGCUAGGCAGGAACUUAGGGUUGGCCACCUAUCGAUGUGUUGAAAUGG
This 227-nucleotide long non-coding RNA is filed under the name Bos taurus (domestic cattle). RNAcentral describes it as "long non-coding RNA NONBTAT023614". Lineage: Eukaryota; Metazoa; Chordata; Mammalia; Artiodactyla; Bovidae. The record is from RNAcentral.